UACGUAGGGUGCAAGCGUUAUCCGGAUUUAUUGGGCGUAAAGGGCUCGUAGGCGGUUCGUCGCGUCCGGUGUGAAAGUCCAUCGCUUAACGGUGGAUCUGCGCCGGGUACGGGCGGGCUUGAGUGCGGUAGGGGAGACUGGAAUUCCCGGUGUAACGGUGGAAUGUGUAGAUAUCGGGAAGAACACCAAUGGCGAAGGCAGGUCUCUGGGCCGUUACUGACGCUGAGGAGCGAAAGCGUGGGGAGCGAACAGG
This 253-nucleotide ribosomal RNA is filed under the name uncultured bacterium. RNAcentral describes it as "partial 16S ribosomal RNA". It matches the Rfam family "Bacterial small subunit ribosomal RNA", at positions 524 to 776 of the family's 1533-position model. The record is from RNAcentral.